This 253-nucleotide ribosomal RNA is filed under the name uncultured bacterium. RNAcentral's name for it is "partial 16S ribosomal RNA". It matches the Rfam family "Bacterial small subunit ribosomal RNA", at positions 524 to 776 of the family's 1533-position model. The record is from RNAcentral.
UACGUAGGAGACAAACGUUAUCCGGAGUUACUGGGCGUAAAGGGCGUGUAGGUGGUAUCGUAAGUCUGGCGUGAAAUUUCUCGGCUUAACCGAGGCAGGUCGUCGGAUACUGCGAGGCUAGAGGACGGUAGAGGCGUGUGGAAUUCCGGGUGUAGUGGUGAAAUGCGUAGAGAUCCGGAGGAACACCAGUGGCGAAGGCGACACGCUGGGCCGUACCUGACACUGAUGCGCGACAGCAUGGGGAGCAAACAGG